AGAGUUUGAUCAUGGCUCAGAUUGAACGCUGGCGGAAUGCUUUACACAUGCAAGUCGAGCGGCAGCGCGGGGCAACCUGGCGGCGAGCGGCGAACGGGUGAGUAAUGCAUCGGAACAUGUCCAUGUCGUGGGGGAUAGCCCGGCGAAAGCCGGAUUAAUACCGCAUACGCCCGAGAGGGGAAAGCCGGGGACCGCAAGGCCUGGCGCGAUUGGGUUGGCCGAUGUCCGAUUAGCUUGUUGGUGAGGUAAAGGCUUACCAAGGCGAUGAUCGGUAGCUGGUCUGAGAGGAUGAUCAGCCACACUGGGACUGAGACACGGCCCAGACUCCUACGGGAGGCAGCAGUGGGGAAUUUUGGACAAUGGGGGCAACCCUGAUCCAGCCAUUCCGCGUGAGUGAAGAAGGCCUUCGGGUUGUAAAGCUCUUUUGUCCGGAGCGAAACGGCACGGGUGAAUAUCCCGUGCUACUGACGGUACCGGAAGAAUAAGCACCGGCUAACUACGUGCCAGCAGCCGCGGUAAUACGUAGGGUGCGAGCGUUAAUCGGAAUUACUGGGCGUAAAGCGUGCGCAGGCGGUUUUGUAAGCCAGACGUGAAAUCCCCGGGCUUAACCUGGGAAUGGCGUUUGGGACUGCAAGGCUUGAGUAUGGCAGAGGGGACUAGAAUUCCUGGUGUAGCAGUGAAAUGCGUAGAUAUCAGGAGGAAUACCGAUGGCGAAGGCAGGUCCCUGGGUUAAUACUGACGCUCAUGCAC
This 750-nucleotide ribosomal RNA is filed under the name uncultured bacterium. Its description in RNAcentral is "bacterial SSU rRNA". It matches the Rfam family "Bacterial small subunit ribosomal RNA", at positions 8 to 754 of the family's 1533-position model. The record is from RNAcentral.